This 504-nucleotide ribosomal RNA is filed under the name uncultured bacterium. RNAcentral describes it as "bacterial SSU rRNA". It matches the Rfam family "Bacterial small subunit ribosomal RNA", at positions 28 to 518 of the family's 1533-position model. The record is from RNAcentral.
GAUGAACGCUAGCUACAGGCUUAACACAUGCAAGUCGAGGGGAAACGACAUCGAAAGCUUGCUUUUGAUGGGUGUCGACCGGCGCACGGGUGAGUAACGCGUAUCCAACCUGCCCACCACUUGGGGAUAACCUUGCGAAAGUAAGACUAAUACCCAAUGAUAUCCCACGAAGGCAUCCGAAUGGGAUUAAAGAUUUAUCGGUGAUGGAUGGGGAUGCGUCUGAUUAGCUUGUUGGCGGGGUAACGGCCCACCAAGGCAACGAUCAGUAGGGGUUCUGAGAGGAAGGUCCCCCACAUUGGAACUGAGACACGGUCCAAACUCCUACGGGAGGCAGCAGUGAGGAAUAUUGGUCAAUGGGCGAGAGCCUGAACCAGCCAAGUAGCGUGCAGGACGACGGCCCUAUGGGUUGUAAACCUGCUUUUGCAGGGGAAUAAAGUAUGCCACGUGUGGUGUUUUGCAUGUACCCUGCGAAUAAGGAUCGGCUAAUUCCGUGCCAGCAGCCGC